GUGAAUCUAAGAGAAAUCGUGGAAGAUGAAGAAACAAAAUAGUACCUUAGAUUUCAAGAUUGUGAAGUCUUCUUUUCACAUUCAUAACUUUUUGAUCGGGGGAUUACAUUCAUAAGUUUUGUACCUUGAUCACAUUCGUAAGUUUAGAUCACAAUAUAAGUUUUGUACCUUAGAUCACAUUAUAAGUUUUGUACCUUAGAUCAA
Molecule: long non-coding RNA, 204 nt
Filed under: Brassica rapa (field mustard)
Lineage: Eukaryota; Viridiplantae; Streptophyta; Magnoliopsida; Brassicales; Brassicaceae
Description: long non-coding RNA (BRAP_LNC007159)
Source: RNAcentral